This 503-nucleotide ribosomal RNA is filed under the name uncultured bacterium. RNAcentral describes it as "partial 16S ribosomal RNA". It matches the Rfam family "Bacterial small subunit ribosomal RNA", at positions 28 to 507 of the family's 1533-position model. The record is from RNAcentral.
GACGAACGCUGGCGGCGUGCUUAACACAUGCGAGUCGAACGGUGAAGCGCUUUCCUUUUUGGUUGGUGUGGAUGAGUGGCGAACGGGUGAGUAACGCGUGAGUAACCUGCCCCCUUCUUCUGGAUAACCGCAUGAAAGUGUGGCUAAUACGGGAUAUUCUGCGCCUGCUGCAUGGUGGGUGUGGGAAAGAUUGUGCCUUUGGGUGUUUUCGGUGGGGGAUGGGCUCGCGGCCUAUCAGCUUGUUGGUGGGGUGAUGGCCUACCAAGGCGGUGACGGGUAGCCGGCCUGAGAGGGUGGACGGUCACACUGGGACUGAGACACGGCCCAGACUCCUACGGGAGGCAGCAGUGGGGAAUAUUGCACAAUGGGCGCAAGCCUGAUGCAGCGACGCCGCGUGAGGGAUGGAGGCCUUCGGGUUGUGAACCUCUUACGCCAGUGAAGCAGGCCUGCUCCUUGUGGGUGGGUUGACGGUAGCUGGAUAAGAAGCGCCGGCUAACUACGUG